AUGGAAAUACAAGACCAAAGCAACUCUCAUGAUCCGAACUGUACUGAGUGCAGUGGCCAAAGCAAGGUAAUAUCACAUGUGCUAACAAUGGAAAUGGGCAGAGUGCAGACAAAACACUGGAAAAGAAGCUGGCAUAAGGCAUGGAAUGGAAAGCACAGAAGACAUGGUUUCAAGAAGAUGACUGGAAAACUGCCCGAAUCAUUGUAUUUACAUGGUGAUUUUACAUGGCAGUUCCUGUGUGAUGUUAAUGAUUUCCUUCAAAACGUCUGUCUCAGAUACUGUCACUAUGUGAAAUUGUUGUUUUUUGUAUUAAACUUUCACCCAUGACUGAAAUGAAAAUUUAUAUAUAUAUUUUCUAUUCUGAACAAGUUCAUAAUUUCUUGAAUAUGCCCAGGGAUUUGAGCUCAGUUUCAUGGAUAGCUUUACUGCUGUAAUCUCUGGAUUUGUAAAUGAUUAGCUGUCAUAACAUGGUUCUUAAUUUUUCAGUGAAAUGUAACAGAAAAUUGAAAGUUUCUUUAUGGAAAAAGAAAUAUAUAUUGCUUGCCUUAGAAACAAGCCAGAUUUAU
RNAcentral lists this long non-coding RNA (566 nucleotides) under Anser brachyrhynchus (Pink-footed goose). Its description in RNAcentral is "lncRNA (ENSABRG00000012024.1)". The record is from RNAcentral. Lineage: Eukaryota; Metazoa; Chordata; Aves; Anseriformes; Anatidae.